Molecule: non-coding RNA, 876 nt
Filed under: Pongo abelii (Sumatran orangutan)
Lineage: Eukaryota; Metazoa; Chordata; Mammalia; Primates; Hominidae
Source: RNAcentral
GGGAAGGCAGGUGGCGACUGACGGAGCUGGGUGAAGGCAGCAGUCUGUCAACAACUGUGGCAUCCAGCUGGUCAGAAAGACUCGAGGAUUUGACAUUUUGUGGCUGUUCUCUAGAACCAAAGAAAUGAGAACCUCUUGGUAAAAUCCACUGGUCCAGGAGUUAUUAUCUCCUAGAUUAUCUGCCAAACAAAUUAUCUGCCAAAAUUACAAUGUAAAACUGAAGAAAACAACCGAUAACUCGGUUAAAAUUUUGGAAAAAUACAAAGAAACUGUGACUGGGGAGAAACAGAUUCUCUCUUUGAUUUUAUAAGCUGACAUGAUUUCUUGUUCUGUUGUGAAUGCACGCUGCUCUAGGCCUCAGUUAACCCAUCACACAUGUGCUCCACGCUGUCCACGGGUGCUUUUUCUGCAGUGUUAACGUCAUCUUCAUGGUUGGUAUCAUCAUGAACACCUUGAUUCAGAACCAUUCUGGCUAUUUCCCCAUCAGUCAAUGAAAGGAACAACUGGAGCCUCAUUAUCAAUGUUAAAAACGACAUUAUUGUCUACUUCUUCCAGCUGACUGAUGAACUCUGAAGGUAUAUUUUUUCCAUAGGUAAGGAGGUCAGACAUCCUUUUCUUCUCACUUGACAAGCUGAAUUCUUCUAAAUCACCACCUUGUUCAUCAUCAUCACUGAACACAGUCGUAGGCCAGAGGUCACGCCAGGCACGCACAGCUGUGUCUUUAGUCACUGUGUUGCAAGCAUUGGCAACAGCAUAUAUGGCAUCCUUCAUGCUCAACUCCUGAAAAUCUUCUACACCUACACCUCCGUUCACUGCUGCGAGCAUGCAAUUCAAGAAAGUAUUUUUAUAUUUACUUUCCAUUGAUCUAAAGAUACC